UACAGAGGGUGCGAGCGUUAAUCGGAAUUACUGGGCGUAAAGGGCGCGUAGGUGGGAGUCUAAGUCAGAUGUGAAAGCCCUGGGCUCAACCUAGGAACUGCAUUUGAUACUGGACUGUCUAGAGUGAGGUAGAGGGUGGCGGAAUUCCCGGUGUAGCGGUGAAAUGCGUAGAUAUCGGGAAGAACACCAGUGGCGAAGGCGGCCACCUGGACCUUAACUGACACUGAGGCGCGAAAGCGUGGGUAGCGAACAGG
This 254-nucleotide ribosomal RNA is filed under the name uncultured bacterium. RNAcentral's name for it is "partial 16S ribosomal RNA". It matches the Rfam family "Bacterial small subunit ribosomal RNA", at positions 524 to 776 of the family's 1533-position model. The record is from RNAcentral.